UCCAACCACGGAUAUGCUAAUCACCUGGAGCAGAGGCAACAACAGCUUCAUCGUUGCCGACCCUUUAGAUUUCUCUCUGAGGAUUUUACCUGCUUACUUCAAGCACAAUAACUUCUCUAGCUUCGUCCGCCAACUCAACACCUACGUAAGUAUACAACAAACCAGUUUAUGUAUAGAUAUAUAUACGUAUGUGUAUAUAGACCUCUGGUUUUUCAUGUUUGGAAUUAAUAUAUACAUAUAUUGAUUGGUGUAAAUGGACACAGGGAUUCAAGAAGGUGGAUUCAGACAGAUGGGAGUUCGCCAACGAGUAUUUUUUGCGAGGGCAGAAGCACUUACUGAAGAACAUAAUGAGGAAGAAGCAUGCCAAGAGCCCGUUCGCGAUGCAAAUGAUAAUGAAGAGCGGAGAAUAUAAUCUU
This 416-nucleotide long non-coding RNA is filed under the name Carica papaya (papaya). RNAcentral describes it as "long non-coding RNA (CPAP_LNC001295)". Lineage: Eukaryota; Viridiplantae; Streptophyta; Magnoliopsida; Brassicales; Caricaceae. The record is from RNAcentral.